GAGUUUGAUCAUGGCUCAGAGCGAACGCUGGCGGCAGGCCUAACACAUGCAAGUCGAACGGACCCUUCGGGGUUAGUGGCGGACGGGUGAGUAACACGUGGGAACGUGCCUUUAGGUUCGGAAUAGCUCCUGGAAACGGGUGGUAAUGCCGAAUGUGCCCUUCGGGGGAAAGAUUUAUCGCCUUUAGAGCGGCCCGCGUCUGACUAGCUAGUUGGUGAGGUAACGGCUCACCAAGGCGACGAUCAGUAGCUGGUCUGAGAGGAUGACCAGCCACACUGGGACUGAGACACGGCCCAAACUCCUACGGGAGGCAGCAGUGGGGAAUAUUGGACAAUGGGCGCAAGCCUGAUCCAGCCAUGCCGCGUGAGUGAUGAAGGUCUUAGGAUUGUAAAGCUCUUUCACCGGUGAAGAUAAUGACGGUAACCGGAGAAGAAGCCCCGGCUAACUUCGUGCCAGCAGCCGCGGUAAU
RNAcentral lists this ribosomal RNA (469 nucleotides) under uncultured Brevundimonas sp. Its description in RNAcentral is "bacterial SSU rRNA". It matches the Rfam family "Bacterial small subunit ribosomal RNA", at positions 9 to 524 of the family's 1533-position model. Lineage: Bacteria; Pseudomonadati; Pseudomonadota; Alphaproteobacteria; Caulobacterales; Caulobacteraceae. The record is from RNAcentral.